RNAcentral lists this ribosomal RNA (438 nucleotides) under uncultured Hyphomicrobium sp. RNAcentral describes it as "bacterial SSU rRNA". It matches the Rfam family "Bacterial small subunit ribosomal RNA", at positions 8 to 493 of the family's 1533-position model. The record is from RNAcentral. Lineage: Bacteria; Pseudomonadati; Pseudomonadota; Alphaproteobacteria; Hyphomicrobiales; Hyphomicrobiaceae.
AGAGUUUGAUCAUGGCUCAGAACGAACGCUGGCGGCAGGCCUAACACAUGCAAGUCGAACGCUGCAGCAAUGCAGAGUGGCAGACGGGUGAGUAACACGUGGGAAUCUUCCUAUCGGUACGGAAUAGCUCAGGGAAACUUGGGGUAAUACCGCAUACGCCCUUCGGGGGAAAGAUUUAUCGCCGAUAGAUGAGCCCGCGUCUGAUUAGCUAGUUGGUGAGGUAAUGGCUCACCAAGGCGACGAUCAGUAGCUGGUCUGAGAGGAUGACCAGCCACACUGGGACUGAGACACGGCCCAGACUCCUACGGGAGGCAGCAGUGGGGAAUAUUGGACAAUGGGCGCAAGCCUGAUCCAGCCAUGCCGCGUGAGUGACGAAGGUCUUCGGAUUGUAAAGCUCUUUUGGCGGGGACGAUAAUGACGGUACCCGCAGAAUAGCCC